RNA transcript from Sinocyclocheilus grahami, 3107 nucleotides. It is a transcript of the gene named protein FAM214B-like, with no coding region annotated. Lineage: Eukaryota; Metazoa; Chordata; Actinopteri; Cypriniformes; Cyprinidae. The record is from RefSeq and is a predicted model, not a curated record. The transcript is spliced from 8 exons.
GUUUUACUUCAGAAGCUGUACGCACUGUGGAAAUCAGCUUGUCCUAACUCCACAACUGACCCCUGGAGACUAAAGCCUUCCAUCUAUGAGACGGGAAGCUUACUUUCACUUUCACAGCCUUGUUGCACUUGUUUAGACAUUCUGGAACUCUCUGGAGCUUGUCUUUAUUAUUUAACACUGCACAACUGCCCCUGAAACAAUCACCCAGCACAAAUAAAGUCACUAUGCGUCACAUCCACGUGGAACUGGCUCGUAAAGAGCCAGCCGUUGAGCUUCCAGCCCAGGACGGGGAUCUACCUCUGCCUAGCGCUCGGAGCGAGAGCCCUGAAUCUGAAAUACGGCAAGUCGUUUCCAGACCUUUUGGAGAAGAAGAGAUCAGGCUACAAAAGGUCUACCAGCUAUCCAUCCUCUCCCAAAGAGGUGGUUUUGGUGAAAAUCAAGAGUCUCUUCGGCCUAUUCGAGUAGGUAUGAAACGUAGCCUGGAGGGGACAUCGGUACCUGUCACUCACAAGCGUCUUUUCCAACAGGAUGAGGAUGACGAUGAUGAUGAGUCCAAUGGGAAGGUGCUAUGUGGGUCUGGGGUGGAACCGCUUUUUUCCAACUCGCUCCUUGAGCACAGAGACUCAGAAAUCCCUAGGUCGCCUCCCCUUUCCCCUUCGCAUCUACUGAUUCCUGGUCGCCGUCCAGCCCAGCACAACCAUGACAGACCCAUCCCAGAUGCCUUCGCCCCGCUGUCCCCAAAAUCUCCCCCUAUGGUGGAUCCACAGGGCCCUCACUCCACCUGGGGCCACUGUGAAGGGAGUCUUCCUACCCUUACUCCCAGAACCGAGGCCUCCACAGCAGGAAAUGUCCUGGCUGGCUCCAGCGAAGGACCACGGGACGAAGGCCAUAACUCUGUCGACAUCAAGGUCAUGUUGUGCCCCACAGAGAGUUGGGCACCUGUCCCAUUUUCAACACCAGCUGAAGCUGUUGAAUGGCGGGAAACUUUUGAAUCUUCUCCUCCACCAUCAGAGAUGAAGACCUCCUCCUCCUCUAACGGACUGAGCUCUCUUGAGAAAACACCAGUGGAAGCAAAUGGCCUGACAUCAGGAUCACCCAAUUCCUGCCCAGUGAAGAAAAGACUUCUCUCCUCCAGUGAUACAGGAGAGUCCUGCUCAGAAGAUGAGGGUCCAUCUACAUCAAAACGAAGUCGAUUAGCAAUGCUGGCACCGGGGCUCGGAUUAGCAUCCUGUCGCAGCACUGAUGCCAAGGGUGCACCCUUCUGGAACCAUCUACUACCCUCAGCAAGGGAGCACACCAAGACUGCUACAGUAUCAGGGAGAAGGCUCAAAGUGGGGAGUCGACUCAAAUCUCGACAGUUACGCAGUGGACGCCGAACAGACACCAGUCGCUCCUGUAGUUCAAUUUCCUCUUUAUCCUCCAUUAGCAGACCUCUUCUUGGCAACUUUGAGGAGUCGAUUCUGAAGGGUCGCUUUACUCCAUCUGGGCAGAUAGAGGGCUUUACAGCAGAGAUCGGUGCUAGCGGCUCAUAUUGCCCGCAGCAUGCCACCUUACCUGUGCAAGUGACGUAUUAUGACACCUCCGAGCACAGCGCCCCUUCUCCCUUCCUGGGGGUGAUCUUGCUAGAACCACUUGGGAAAAAAGGAUACAGCGUACCCAAAGCAGGGACCAUUCAAGUGACCUUAUUUAACCCUAAUAAGACUGUGGUUAAAAUGUUUUUGGUGACGUAUAAUUUUGGGGACAUGCCCGUUAAUCACAUGACCUUCUUGCGCCAUCGUAUCUUCCUGGUGCCUGUUGAUGAGGCGGAGGGGUCAAGGGAGGGGCAGGAGGGCUCCUUGUCUGACAGGAAGAAGAUUCUCUGCUACUUGAUACACCUCAGAUUCCAGAGUUCCAAAUCUGGGAAAAUCUACUUGCACAAUGAUAUCCGGCUGCUAUUCUCCCGCAAGUCCAUCGAGGUGGACACUGGGAUUCCUUACGAGCUGAAAUCUUUCACCGAGGUGCCAAGAAACCCCAAAUACUCCCCCAGAGUGUGAGAUCGUCAUGCCCUGCUGCAGUGGGGCAGAAGGACUCAAUUAAUUAAGAUUGCAAGACAAGAGAUCCCUAUACACUUGAACGCAUACACACUUGCACUCAUACAUGCAUACGCAGACAAGAUGUAUGUACAUGCACACAGAUAUCACACUCUCGAGGGCAAACUCUAGAACUGAGUGUGUAACAUGCAUGCCUUGUGACUAAAUUGAGUUUUCCUCUAGUGCCGUUAAACAGUUAAGCUUUGCCCUUCACUCUGUCUGCACCUGCCUACUGUGGACCAGUUGUAACCAUGCCUACCAACCCGAUCUAUUCUAAAAUGUUGGUGACCAUCAGUAGAUACAGACUUCCUCGAUUAAUGAGGACUUAUUGGACGUACAAAGAGGUGUUGAAUGAGACCAACAGAAAUGUAUGGAGGCGAAGCAAAUGGAAAAAGAGACUUCUGAGGCCCAGAUUGGAGUUUCAACAAUGGACACCACCUGUAUACACACUUGCCCAUUGGAAGGGCUAAUAAAGUUCUAGAAAGAAAGACACCAACAGAACAGAGGACUGAAAGUACAUCCAUUUAGUAUCUGCAUUGUGUUCUUAAAGCAUGGGUCGUAAAGAGGAGAAUAGCUCAUUAUUUUGGACAUUUUCUCUUUUUGGAAGGGCAGUUUGGAGGACAUUGCCGUUUCAACUUCUUCUGAACAGUCCAACAUCAGAGCAGAAAACAAACGGUAGUAUUUAUGCUCGCAAAUGUCUUAAAAAAAGAAGAAAAAAAAAGAAAAAGCAAUAUGCUGCACAACUAGAGUGAUUUCAUUUUUGUGGAGGUAGUAGGUGCCCUCUCUGCUAGGAUUUAGGGAAAAGAUUGCCAAGUGAGAGAUGAAGGAGGGAGGAAAAACGAAGUAAACGGGAGGGAAUUUGGGGUAUUUAAAAUCAGAAAAUGUUGUUUAUGUAUAUUUUAAAAAUUGAUUAAACUCUGCGACUUGUGGGUGAAACCAGUGUUUGACCGUAAUUUGCCAAGGGAUACUUGAGAAGCAAUGCCAAGGUUUGUUCCUGUAUAUUUUGUGUAUGGUCAAUAAAAUAUAUUCACUUACAAC